Long non-coding RNA from Cygnus olor (mute swan), 1210 nucleotides. RefSeq lists it as uncharacterized. The record is from RefSeq and is a predicted model, not a curated record. The transcript has 2 exons. NCBI's taxonomy places the organism in Eukaryota, Metazoa, Chordata, Aves, Anseriformes, Anatidae.
UCAGUAUAAGCAAACUGGAGAUUGCAACGUCCUCAGCAAAGCGCCUGACUCACAUGGAGGAGUUUUUCCACACAAAAAGUAAUGGUUUCAUGCCCCAGGAUGUGAAAUGUGGACAGAAAAAUUUUAUCCAGAAGGUCAACAACUUUUAACUUUCAGCAGUUCACAUUCAAGCCGCUUUCCCAGGAAGUUCAGCUCCUGCCGCGCCAGGGCGGCUGCAGCCUUCACAGCACCAGGGCUUGGCUCUGCACGACGGGGGCUGCCGUGGCUGCCUCUGUCUGGAGCCCAGCCUCGCCCCCGUGAGUGGUGCUGGUGCUGGUGCAGGGCUGGGUGGGCGGCUGUAGGGGGACAGCCUCGGGUCUGGGUCCUGGCUGCCCAUGGUGCCAGGCAUGGCUUGGCCAGGGCAGCUCAAGCACCGCCGCUGCGCCGACAGCGCUGCAGUAAGGCUGUAACAUUAUCACCAGCAAAUGGCCCUCAGUGUGUUACUUAUAGGAAACAGAAAAAACAAACAAACCCUGAAUAAUAGCCCAAACAUCUUUUGUGGGACUUACAGCUUUCUAACUUUAUUUAAAAAAAGAAGGAAAAAAGUAAAUUUUCCCUGUCGGAGAAUUGCUAUCAUCACGCAAUGGCACUUAGGAAUAUUAUAAACAACUGUGUCAGUUUAUAAGGCUAAAGACAUUUUUUCUGGGGCUCACACAAGCUUUCCUUUCCACAGCAGAUCAUCGUCACCGGGGGUUGCGAAGCCUGGUGGAUGGCACGUCCGCGGGCCCCGCUGGGCGCAGGGUCGCGUUCCAUCCGCUGACAGCCCUUCAUGCUGUGACCUGCAACCCCUCACCUGGCAGCCGGAGUGUGUAAGGCGCACCCUGCACCCUCGCUGUAGCUGCAGAAGAUUUAUAAGAGCGGUACGUGACUGACAGAUAAGGGACUCCCACAGAGCGAAGACGAGAGCGAGGGAACCAGAAAGCUGUAUGUUUGGACUUGAUUCAAGGAAUUCGGAGCCCCUCUUGUUCAGGCAGGUUUGAAUAGAAAAUUUGCCAAAUCAACCUAACACCAUAAAAACGUUUCUUGAGAAAAGGCUGGGGCAGAGCUGGGUUUUAAAAAAAACCCGCUACCCAAAGCUCUGUGUCCCACCCUGGUAUUUAUGACAUGCACAUGGAUGCUGUUGAUAGCAAAGAUGUUUUUGUAAGUCAAUAAAAUGGAAAAAGAGAUUCCA